UACGUAGGUGGCAAGCGUUGUCCGGAUUUACUGGGCGUAAAGCGCGUGUAGGCGGAAAUGCCAGUCCGGCCUGAAAGCCCUCGGCUCAACCGAGGAUCCGGGUCGGAAACUGCAUUUCUUGAGGGCGGAAGAGGCGUGUGGAAUUCCUGGUGUAGCGGUGAAAUGCGUAGAGAUCAGGAGGAACACCCAUGGCGAAGGCAGCACGCUGGUCCGACCCUGACGCUGAGACGCGAAAGCGUGGGGAGCGAACGGG
Molecule: ribosomal RNA, 253 nt
Filed under: uncultured bacterium
Lineage: Bacteria
Description: partial 16S ribosomal RNA
Rfam family: Bacterial small subunit ribosomal RNA
Source: RNAcentral